GGGACCCGCACAAGCGGUGGAUGAUGUGGAUUAAUUCGAUGCAACGCGAAAAACCUUACCUACCCUUGACAUGUCCGGAAUCCCGAAGAGAUUUGGGAGUGCUCGCAAGAGAACCUGCACACAGGUGCUGCAUGGCUGUCGUCAGCUCGUGUCGUGAGAUGUUGGGUUAAGUCCCGCAACGAGCGCAACCCUUGCCAUUAGUUGCUACGAAAGGGCACUCUAAUGGGACUGCCGGUGACAAACCGGAGGAAGGUGGGGAUGACGUCAAGUCCUCAUGGCCCUUAUAGGUGGGGCUACACACGUCAUACAAUGGCCGGUACAGAGGGUAGCCAACCCGCGAGGGGGAGCCAAUCCCACAAAGCCGGUCGUAGUCCGGAUCGCAGUCUGCAACUCGACUGCGUGAAGUCGGAAUCGCUAGUAAUCGCGGAUCAGCAUGUCGCGGUGAAUACGUUCCCGGGUCUU
This 462-nucleotide ribosomal RNA is filed under the name uncultured Allobrachymonas sp. RNAcentral describes it as "bacterial SSU rRNA". It matches the Rfam family "Bacterial small subunit ribosomal RNA", at positions 916 to 1382 of the family's 1533-position model. The record is from RNAcentral. Lineage: Bacteria; Pseudomonadati; Pseudomonadota; Betaproteobacteria; Burkholderiales; Comamonadaceae.